This 429-nucleotide unclassified non-coding RNA is filed under the name soil metagenome. RNAcentral describes it as "partial contains 5.8S ribosomal RNA, internal transcribed spacer 2, and large subunit ribosomal RNA". The stretch from base 1 to 120 matches the Rfam family "5.8S ribosomal RNA", at positions 35 to 154 of the family's 154-position model. The record is from RNAcentral.
GAUGAAGAACGUAGCGAAAUGCGAUAAGUAGUGUGAAUUGCAGAAUUCAGUGAAUCAUCGAAUCUUUGAACGCAUAUUGCGCUCUUUGGUAUUCCGAAGAGCAUGCUUGUUUGAGUAUCAGUAAACACCUCAAAGCUUUUGAUUUUUUUGAAAGCUUUGGACUUGAGCAAUCCCAACACCAAUCUUUUUCAGAUCGGCGGCGGGUUGCUUGAAAUGCAGGUGCAGCUGGACAUUCUCCUGAGCUAAAAGCAUAUUCAUUUAGUCCCGUCAAACGGAUUAUUACUUUUGCUGCAGCUAACAUAAAGGGAGUUUGACCGUAUUGGCUGACUGAUGCAGGAUUUCACAAGGGUCGGCAACGAUUCUUGUUAAACUCGAUCUCAAAUCAAGUAAGACUACCCGCUGAACUUAAGCAUAUCAAUAAGCGGAGGA